GCCGGUGUGAUGGAAUGGUAGACGUGACGGACUCAAAAUCCGUUGGUGGCAACACCGUGUGGGUUCGAGUCCCACCACCGGCACCA
This 86-nucleotide transfer RNA is filed under the name Oscillospiraceae bacterium. RNAcentral describes it as "tRNA-Leu". It matches the Rfam family "tRNA". From Rfam's summary of the family: Transfer RNA (tRNA) molecules are approximately 80 nucleotides in length. Their secondary structure includes four short double-helical elements and three loops (D, anti-codon, and T loops). Lineage: Bacteria; Bacillati; Bacillota; Clostridia; Eubacteriales; Oscillospiraceae. The record is from RNAcentral. RNAcentral also lists the same sequence under 1 other name.